This 384-nucleotide ribosomal RNA is filed under the name uncultured eukaryote. RNAcentral describes it as "SSU rRNA". It matches the Rfam family "Eukaryotic small subunit ribosomal RNA", at positions 587 to 972 of the family's 1831-position model. The record is from RNAcentral.
AGCUCCAAUUGCGUAUAUUAAAGUUGUUGCAGUUUAAAAAGCUCAUAAUUGUAUUUCUGAUGAGAGGGAUUGGUCCAGCACACUGUGUUGAAACUGGAUCCUCUCCGGCCAUCCUUGGGUGGAUCUUGUCUAGCAUUAAGUUGUCAGUCAGGAGAUGCCCAUCGUUUAUUGUGAAAAUGUUUGAGUGUUCAAAGCAGGCUUAUGCCAUUGAAUAUAUUAAGAUAGAAUAAUAAGAUAGGGCCCUGGUACUAUUUUGUUGGUUUGCGUACUGAGGAAAUGAUUAAUAGGGACAGUUAAGGGUAUUUGUAUUCGAUAUCCAGUGGUGAAAUACUUAGACCUACGGAAGACAAACUAGUGGGAAAGCAUUUACCAAUGAUUAUUUCA